UACGUAGGGGGCAAGCGUUGUCCGGAAUUAUGGGGCGUAAAGAGCGCGUAGGCGGUCCGAUAAGUCGGCUGUGAAAGUCAGGGGCUCAACCCUUGGAAGCCGGCCGAUACUGUCGGACUAGAGUCCGGAAGAGGCGAGUGGAAUUCCCGGUGUAGCGGUGAAAUGCGCAGAUAUCGGGAGGAACACCAAUGGCGAAGGCAGCUCGCUGGGACGGUACUGACGCUGAGGCGCGAAAGCGUGGGGAGCAAACAGG
RNAcentral lists this ribosomal RNA (253 nucleotides) under uncultured bacterium. RNAcentral describes it as "partial 16S ribosomal RNA". It matches the Rfam family "Bacterial small subunit ribosomal RNA", at positions 524 to 776 of the family's 1533-position model. The record is from RNAcentral.